UCAGACGAUGCGUCAUGCAUAUCAAUAAGCGGAGGAAAAGAAACUAACAAGGAUUCCCCUAGUAACGGCGAGUGAAGCGGGAAGAGCUCAAAUUUGAAAUCUUAAAGGGUUUCCCUUUACGAAUUGUAGUUUAAAGAAGUGUUUUCUGUUGAGGUUUUGGUAAAAGUUCUUUGGAAUAGGACAUCAUAGAGGGUGAGAAUCCCGUAUUUGACCUUUACUUUCAACUUUGUGAUACACUUUCAAAGAGUCGGAUUGUUUGGGAAUGCAGUCCAAAAUGGGUGGUAAAUUUCAUCUAAAGCUAAAUAUUGGCGAGAGACCGAUAGCGAACAAGUACCGUGAGGGAAAGAUGAAAAGAACUUUGAAAAGAGAGUUAAACAGUACGUGAAAUUGUCAAAAGGGAAGCGUUUGACACCAGUGUUGUUUUUCUGAAAAUCAAUUAAAGAACUGUUUAUGCUAAGUUGUUUAGACUUUAUCAGCUAUCUGUUUAGUUUUGAGCUUUUCUUUAAUGCACUUUUCAGUUAACAAGUCAACAUCAAUUUCUUUUGCUGUAAAAAGCUUGAGGAAGGUGGCUUGAGAUUCGUCUUAAGUGUUUAUAGCCUCUUGCCUAUGCAGUCGGAGAGAUUGAGGUCUGCAGCGUAGAUCCUUCGGGGCUAAGUGCAUUUGUGCUAAGUUAUAGCAUUUUAUAGACAACUUGUUGACUAUGAUUUGUCUAGUAGCUUACUCGCUUAUGUUAUUUUACCUACGCUUAGGAUGUUGAGCGCAUGUCUCUCUCU
Molecule: ribosomal RNA, 773 nt
Filed under: uncultured Neocallimastigales
Lineage: Eukaryota; Fungi; Neocallimastigomycota; Neocallimastigomycetes; Neocallimastigales
Description: partial large subunit ribosomal RNA
Rfam family: Eukaryotic large subunit ribosomal RNA
Source: RNAcentral